CCUAGGUGGGCCCUCUUUAUUUACAGGCCUGCCCGUACAUUUGGUUUCGUCACACCACAACCGAAUUUAGCUUUAGUUUUGCAUUGUUCCCUGUCACAGGUGCCUCAUUCUUCCAGGGCUUUAUUUAACCUUUUACUGCAGAGAGCCCCAGAUUGAAUUUUUUUCCCCAAGUAAGUGGGUUAAACUCAUAAGAGCAGACAUUAAGUUGUUCGAG
Pelobates cultripes (western spadefoot toad) is the source of this 214-nucleotide non-coding RNA. The record is from the annotation of a GenBank genome assembly. NCBI's taxonomy places the organism in Eukaryota, Metazoa, Chordata, Amphibia, Anura, Pelobatidae.